Molecule: ribosomal RNA, 223 nt
Filed under: uncultured bacterium
Lineage: Bacteria
Description: partial 16S ribosomal RNA
Rfam family: Bacterial small subunit ribosomal RNA
Source: RNAcentral
CAGGGGGAGUAACAGUCAGAAAUAGGCUGCUAAUACCGCAUAAGCGCACAGAGCUGCAUGGCUCAGUGUGAAAAACUACCGGUGGUAUAAGAUGGACCCGCGUUGGAUUAGCUGGUUGGUGGGGUAACGGCCCACCAAGGCGACGAUCCAUAGCCGGGCCUGAGAGGGUGAACGGCCACAUUGGGACUGAGACACGGCCCAGACUCCUACGGGAGGCAGCAUG